GCACAGCUGCUAUGCAGCUGGAGUAGGGCUCCGCAUAUGGCACUUGAUCCAGUGAUGCCAAAAUGAUAGGACUCAAGAUGCUGAGUAAAAACAUUUUUAAAAAUGAUGAAAAAUAUCAAACAGAUAACUAAGGAGACCUUGGGUAAUAGGCAAAAUCAGACUUUCUGUGGCUCCGAUUUCUCUUCCCUGUGUCCACCUAUCUCUAGGACAAUGUUGAUUUUAGAUAAUAUGAGAUACAGAAAUCUUCUUUUGAAAAGAAAUUAACCUUCAGAAGACCCAAAGCAUAGUGAUUCAUUGGGGGAACGUGGACACUGGUCGUCUUCUAAACAUUCUUGUUGGGGCUGAGGCAGGGGACCGUUACAAAAUUUCCAGGGCAGAGCUGUCUCUGCAGCUUCAAAUGAUGACCUGUUGGAAAUGAGGUGAACAGGUUGUGUUUACAGCCUCAAAGAGAUUAUAUGAAUCAUACGGCUAUGCAUGUCCAAUCAAAGAAGAAGGAAAGCAAAGGUCAGACACAAACAUGAAAUGGACCUGACCCCAACCUCUUAGUUAUGUCAGGCAAUAAGGAAUCUUGGCCAAGCAGAGCAGCUGUGCCCAUGGUGUUCUCCCUGAUUGACCUCUUAUCUUAUUCAGAUGCGAGGUCUAAACAUAACAGUUUAGAAUCCUGAAAAAAAUCCUCUCUGCAAUGCUUUGAAUCAAAAACUGAUUUUUUUCAGCUGACCCGACUAUAUGGCGAAUGCAUCACAGCUGGUGCUGACAUAGAGCUAGGCAGCUAAUUUAAGGGAGGCACACUGGAGUUCCCUGGCUGCGAGGGCAAAAGAAAGCAAGUGGUGAAGGCCCGUGAUUCUCAUCUGACACUGAAUCAAGGCUAGAUCAAUCAAUGGAAAGGACCUUGAUAUACAAAGACAAGUUGAUUCAGAAUUAUGGAACCUGAGACAUAUCCCAGCUUUCCUGAGGGCAGAGCAUGCUUCUCCACCCUAUUGAUUUGGGGGCUUCAGAUGACUUGCUUUGACCAAUGGCAUGUGGGCAGAAGUGAUAGCAUGCCAGUUCCCAGAGGAGAACUGAAGAUCCAUUGCAAGUGUCCUCUUGUGCUCCUGUGCUGUGCAUGAGAAGAGCAUCACUCACAUAGCCACUCCAGAAUAAGAAUAUAGGUGCAGAAGACCUAACCCAACCCACAGUCUAGAGCCAAACCCAGCCAAAGAAUAAAAAUGCUCUAAACCCGCAAAGACAAAGGAUAAUAUUAAAAAAAAAAAAAAAAAAAAAGAAAAGAAGAGAAGAGAAAAAAUAGACAAGGUAGAUGAGAUUUACACAAAUUCUGGAAAGAUGGACAGUUUGUGCUGUCUUUGGAUGAGGGACAAAGUGUUUCAUUUGUAGUUUUAUGUAGGAUAAUUAGAUCACAUGGACUUUUAUUGAAUUGUACGUAAAGAUGAUGUGCGUCCAUGCAUGUGUUUGUGUGUGUGUGUAUUUGUGCUGGUUACCAAAGAAAUGGGUGUAGUGGAGAGCUUUAUUUUAUUUCAUUUUUUUGUUAUACUCAGAAUACCAUAACUCAAUAAAUAAUUGUGCAUAAUAAUAAUAAAACCCACAGAGAAUUAACAGUUGCAUCAUUAGACAUGUUACUUCUUUUCACAAUGAAAUCUUACUUGGUGAUAUUUUUCUAAAUUUCCCUGAGAGGCUAGAUGUUUAUAUAAAGUCAUGGCAAUGUUAAAGUGUAUAUUGUAUAUGAUGUAACAAAUGAGGCACUUAAUUUGAAUUUGUUUCCACAGAAUAAGCCAUUUGAUAUUUCUGUACUCUUUAUGGCAGAUUAGUUUUGCUUAUAGUAGAUUAUUACAUUCUUUCUGAGUCAUUAAGAGCUGUUACUGACGUGUACCAAACUGUGUUUUGAAGCAUUGCCAUUAUGUUUAAGCCAUAUAAUUUGUAGUUAAAACUAAAGGCAUGAAGCUUGUCAAAUACUGUUUUAUUUCAUAUUGAAAAAAGUAAGAAAAAUCUUCACUUCAAUGCUGAAUUAUUAUAAAGUAGAGCAAGCAGUGGAAAAAUUGCUAUUUAAAAAAGGAAAUGUUAUCUCAAUAUUUGCAAAGGCACUGUGGUAAAGUCUAUUAAUGCUUUUCUUUUCUGAUUAUUCUCUCCUUCCUGAGGACACAGGAAGAAUCUGGUCCCCAGGCCCCUUUGCGGUCAGGCAGGGCCAUGUGACUAUUUCUAGCCAGUGAAAUGUGAGUGAAACUGAUGCAUCUUGUUUCAGGCUGAAGCUUUUAAGAACAAGUAUGCCACUUCCAUUAUCUCCCUUCCUCUCUGGCAGUGACCACGAAGCUUGUUUAUUGAAAUGGCAGUACUCACAAAAUAAGCAGUCUGAGUGACCACAUGGAAAAAAGUAGCUCUGUAAAGACAUUUGACUGACAUCAGACUUUGUGCAUGUGAGAAAUAGAUUUUGUUGUUUAAGACGCUGUGGCUGUAACUAGUGACUAAAACAGUCAUGUAUUGUUAUGCAAAACCUGUGUCUAGAUUUUAACUUUAUUAAACAGAAACAUACUUAUUAGGACAGAGAGAGUCACUAUUUAAAGGCACCCGCAGGUAAAUAUUCUUUUAAUCAAAAAAUUGUUUAAAUGUGAAUAAACACCACUUGAUUUUUAACUGAUUAAUCAGAUCAUAAAGUUACAUGAUUAAAAAAUUAAGAGGUUGUGGGUGUGAACUUUACUCUUUGUUUUGUUCAAUAAUAGAACUCUGUCAUGUGCGUGUGUGUAUAUGUGUGUGUGUGUGUGUGUGUAGAGAGAGGCAAAUACUUAUAUGUAGUCAGAUAUUUUGAGCCAUUAAAUUGGACCAUAUGUGUGAGAACAAUUUGUAAGCUGAAAAGAAUCAUAAGAUACAAAGAAAUCAGCAGCACCAUUAUCAUCACCAUUAAAAUCUGGCUUCAUUAAGAGUCUCCGGGCUGGCCACGCACUUAGGAGGGGUCUACUCUGUUAUUCUAUUGGAUGAUUUAAUACGCUGGUAAUUCAGUCAAUUAACCGUAGUUGCUUGAACUACCUGGCACUGAGCAACCUAUUUAACAAAUGUGCAUGUUAAUUGACAGUUCAUUACUUUAACUGAUAGAGUAAGCUAUUUUGGUUUCACAUAGAUAUAGUUUUAGACAGUUACAAAUUAUUAUCUAAGAAGCUGAGCCCAUAUUCUAAACGCCAAGUCGGGCACUCCAAAGGUACCAUAGAGACUGGCAGUCGUUCUGCACAGAGGCAUGUGUUGUGUGUGUGUGGGUAUGUGUGUGUGUGUGAGCCUGUGUGUAUGUGUGUGUUCUCCCCCCAGUUUUUCAUAUAGCAUUUUUAAACAUUCUGACAUUAUUCUAAUCUCACUACUGUGACAGCAACUUCAAAACUAAGCAAUUUAACAAAUUUUACAGAAGCAAAAAGUACUAAAUCUAUGGCAUGGAUUCUGGCCUUCUGAGUUCAAGGCCAGAACAUUGUCCAUCAGACCACAGCUUCCUUUAGAGAAAAUAAAAAAACUAAAAACACCUCAAGGUUGUCAGCCAUUUUUUAAAAAUGUUACAUUUUGCUCUUUAACUUACCUGGAAUUAAUUAUUACGCUUAAUGUGUGAGAUAAAUCUAAAUUCAUAUUUUCUGUACGUUGUAAUAUACAGUCUUGAUUUUAUUUACAUAAAAACAUACAUUACUUUUCUGUCUUUUUAGAUUUCAAAACGCAUUUUCAAUCAGAUGGAAACAAAAGUUAAUUACAGGCAUUCACUAAUAAAUGUUACUAUAAUGGGAUGCUAACAUCAGGGUUCCUUGUAUUUCUUCUCUAUUUACUCCUAUGCCCCUAAUGUUAUCCUUGUCCUGAACUUCUUGCAGUUGAGGAAGCGCAUUUAUCUCCACAAUCCAUUGUUCAAAUUUGCAAUAAAUUCUUCAAAUCUUAAAGAAGCAACUGAAGAACAUGGAUUUUAGACUUAAGAUUUGAAUGCUAGUUUUACCAUUAAUUAGCUAAAUGAUCUUGGACAUGUUUCUUAACCAGGUUGAUCCUCAGUUUCCUCAUUUCUAUAGUGGAGUUAAAAUGUCUGCUUCAUAAGCAGUCCUGAGAA
RNAcentral lists this long non-coding RNA (4051 nucleotides) under Equus caballus (horse). RNAcentral's name for it is "lncRNA (ENSECAG00000050085.1)". Lineage: Eukaryota; Metazoa; Chordata; Mammalia; Perissodactyla; Equidae. The record is from RNAcentral.